GCGCCUAUAGCUCAGUCGGUUAGAGCAACAGACUCAUAAUCUGUGGGUCCCUGGUUCGAGCCCAGGUGGGCGCA
RNAcentral lists this transfer RNA (74 nucleotides) under Bacteroidota bacterium. RNAcentral describes it as "tRNA-Ile". It matches the Rfam family "tRNA". From Rfam's summary of the family: Transfer RNA (tRNA) molecules are approximately 80 nucleotides in length. Their secondary structure includes four short double-helical elements and three loops (D, anti-codon, and T loops). Lineage: Bacteria; Pseudomonadati; Bacteroidota. RNAcentral also lists the same sequence under 1 other name. The record is from RNAcentral.